RNAcentral lists this ribosomal RNA (492 nucleotides) under uncultured bacterium. RNAcentral's name for it is "partial 16S ribosomal RNA". It matches the Rfam family "Bacterial small subunit ribosomal RNA", at positions 29 to 507 of the family's 1533-position model. The record is from RNAcentral.
AGUGAACGCUGGCGGUAGGCCUAACACAUGCAAGUCGAACGGCAGCACAGUAAGAGCUUGCGCUUACGGGGGGCGAGGGGCGGACGGGGGAGGAAUACAUCGGAAGCUACGUUUGCGUGGGGGAUAACGUAGGGAAACUUACGCUAAUACCGCAGACGACCUACGGGUGAAAGCAGGGGAUCUUCGGACCUUGCGCGAGUGAAGGAGGCGAUGUCGGAUUAGCUAGUUGGAGGGGUAAAGGCCCACCAAGGCGACGAUCCGUAGCUGGUCUGAGAGGAUGAUCAGCCACACUGGAACUGAGACACGGUCCAGACUCCUACGGGAGGCAGCAGUGGGGAAUAUUGGACAAUGGGCGCAAGCCUGAUCCAGCCAUACCGCGUGGGUGAAGAAGGCCUUCGGGUUGUAAAGCCCUUUUGUUGGGAAAGAAAAGCAGCAGGUUAAUACCCCGCUGUUCUGACGGUACCCAAAGAAUAAGCACCGGCUAACUUCGUG